UACGGGGGGGGCAAGCGUUGUUCGGAAUUACUGGGCGUAAAGGGCUCGUAGGCGGCCAACUAAGUCGGACGUGAAAUCCCCAGGCUCAACCUGGGAACUGCGUCUGAUACUGGAUGGCUUGAAUCCGGGAGAGGGAUGCAGAAUUCCAGGUGUAGCGGUGAAAUGCGUAGAUAUCAGGAGGAACACCGAUGGCGAAGGCAGGUCUCUGGGCUGAUACUGACGCUCAUGCACGAAAGCGUGGGGAGCAAACAGG
Molecule: ribosomal RNA, 253 nt
Filed under: uncultured bacterium
Lineage: Bacteria
Description: partial 16S ribosomal RNA
Rfam family: Bacterial small subunit ribosomal RNA
Source: RNAcentral